Molecule: ribosomal RNA, 428 nt
Filed under: Chloroflexota bacterium
Lineage: Bacteria; Bacillati; Chloroflexota
Description: Chloroflexi bacterium partial 16S ribosomal RNA
Rfam family: Bacterial small subunit ribosomal RNA
Source: RNAcentral
UGGGGAAUAUUGCACAAUGGGCGCAAGCCUGAUGCAGCCAUGCCGCGUGUAUGAAGAAGGCCUUCGGGUUGUAAAGUACUUUCAGCGGGGAGGAAGGGAGUAAAGUUAAUACCUUUGCUCAUUGACGUUACCCGCAGAAGAAGCACCGGCUAACUCCGUGCCAGCAGCCGCGGUAAUACGGAGGGUGCAAGCGUUAAUCGGAAUUACUGGGCGUAAAGCGCACGCAGGCGGUUUGUUAAGUCAGAUGUGAAAUCCCCGGGCUCAACCUGGGUACUGCAUCUGAUACUGGCAAGCUUGAGUCUCGUAGAGGGGGGUAGAAUUCCAGGUGUAGCGGUGAAAUGCGUAGAGAUCUGGAGGAAUACCGGUGGCGAAGGCGGCCCCCUGGACGAAGACUGACGCUCAGGUGCGAAAGCGUGGGGAGCAAACAG